CACAGAGGAAGCCAGGUGGCGACACCGCGCGGAACCGAAGCCGUUCUCAGUUCGGAUCGGAGUCUGCAACCCGACUCCGUGAAGCUGGAUUCGCUAGUAAUCGCGCAUCAGCCACGGCGCGGUGAAUACGUUCCCGGGCCUUGUACACACCGCCCGUCAAGCCAUGGAAGCCGGGAGUGCCUGAAGUGCGUGACCGCAAGGAGCGUCCUAAGGCAAUACCGGUGACUGGGGCUAAGUCGUAACAAGGUAUC
This 251-nucleotide ribosomal RNA is filed under the name uncultured bacterium. Its description in RNAcentral is "partial 16S ribosomal RNA". It matches the Rfam family "Bacterial small subunit ribosomal RNA", at positions 1238 to 1500 of the family's 1533-position model. The record is from RNAcentral.